UCUGCAAUUGCAAGAGCUUGAGCUGAGGCUACUGGAUGGUUGAUGAACUCUGAAGUGCAGGUAGUAUGCUACAUGAGGGGCAAGUUUUUCACUAACACCACAAGGGUCUCUGGACCAAUGGCUGGAGUUUGAUAAUAAUUCUUACUUCAAAA
This is a small nucleolar RNA of Sorex araneus (European shrew), 152 nucleotides long. NCBI's taxonomy places the organism in Eukaryota, Metazoa, Chordata, Mammalia, Eulipotyphla, Soricidae. The record is from RefSeq and is a predicted model, not a curated record.